Molecule: unclassified non-coding RNA, 277 nt
Filed under: Hevea brasiliensis (rubber tree)
Lineage: Eukaryota; Viridiplantae; Streptophyta; Magnoliopsida; Malpighiales; Euphorbiaceae
Source: RNAcentral
UGGUAAGAGAGGAGCUACUAUCAAGUCAGUUAAAGAAUCCUGCAAUGCUGAAAUUUUUACAGGUAGUGAUAAAGGUCCGCCUGAUAAGGUAUUCAUUAUCGGACCUGUGAAGGAGGUGAGGAAAGCCGAAGCUAUUAUACGAGGGCAGAUGAUGGACUUCUAUUAACAAAUUCUCAAGCUGCAAAUUUAUGGCUCUGGCCUUAUACAACAAAAGAACAUCAUCCAAGAUAUGAGUCGGUUUCCAAUCUCCUGUAAAGAUCGGUACAUGUUCUGGAAA